Molecule: ribosomal RNA, 433 nt
Filed under: uncultured bacterium
Lineage: Bacteria
Description: partial 16S ribosomal RNA
Rfam family: Bacterial small subunit ribosomal RNA
Source: RNAcentral
AACGAACGCUGGCGGCAUGCCUAACACAUGCAAGUCGAACGAGACCUUCGGUUCUAGUGGCGCACGGGUGCGUAACGCGUGGGAACCUGCCCUUAGGUUCGGAAUAACUCCCCGAAAGGGGUGCUAAUACCGGAUAAUGUCUUCGGACCAAAGAUUUAUCGCCUUUGGAUGGGCCCGCGUUGGAUUAGCUAGUUGGUAGGGUAAAAGCCUACCAAGGCGACGAUCCAUAGCUGGUCUGAGAGGAUGAUCAGCCACACUGGGACUGAGACACGGCCCAGACUCCUACGGGAGGCAGCAGUGGGGAAUAUUGGACAAUGGGCGAAAGCCUGAUCCAGCAAUGCCGCGUGUGUGAUGAAGGCCUUAGGGUUGUAAAGCUCUUUUACCCGGGAUGAUAAUGACAGUACCGGGAGAAUAAGCUCCGGCUAACUCCGUG